Molecule: ribosomal RNA, 441 nt
Filed under: uncultured bacterium
Lineage: Bacteria
Description: partial 16S ribosomal RNA
Rfam family: Bacterial small subunit ribosomal RNA
Source: RNAcentral
GAUGAACGCUGGCGGCGUGCCUAAUACAUGCAAGUCGAACGGGGAGUCGCAAUACUCUUAGUGGCGAACGGGUGAGUAACGCGUUGGUACCUGCCCCGAAGCGGGGGAUAACGGACCGAAAGGUCCGCUAAUACCCCAUGUGCUCGGUAACGAGUAAAGGUGAAAACCACUUUGGGAGGGGCCUGCGUCCCAUCAGCUAGUUGGUAAGGUAACGGCUUACCAAGGCGAUGACGGGUAGGGGACCUGAGAGGGUGGCCCCCCACAAUGGAACUGAAACACGGUCCAUACACCUACGGGUGGCAGCAGUAGGGAAUAUUGGUAAUGGGCGCAAGCCUGAACCAGCAACGCCGCGUGUGCGAUGACGGCCUUCGGGUUGUAAAGCACUUUUGACUGGGACGAGGAAGGACAGUACCGGUCGAAUCAGCCUCGGCUAACUACGUG